UGAUUAAUGCUUACUUGUGAUUUUAGGAUAACUGGAGAUAAUGAUUCCUUUUUUCCAUUGAUAUUACAUAAAUAUUUUCCUAAGUAUUAUGUUACAAUAAAUUGGUUUAGAUUUUUUUUUAUAAAAGUAAUCAAUAAUUACAAUGGAAAUUAAAACCAUAAUCAUGUUCAUUGAGGAUUUUCAAUAUGUAACAGGUCAAACAGGAACUUCAAUUGUGAACAUGGCAGAGAACACACCCAUCAGAAGAUGACCCUCAGAAAUAGGACAAUUAAUGAAUAAAAUGGACAGAGGCAGAACUGAAGGAGAUGCAUGAAAUGAGGAAUAUUUCAAAGAUUGCCUGAGCAUAACCACUGCUAUUGGAUAAACAUAUGGCAGUAUAAAAGAGCAGGGUCAAUGGAGGUAUCAUACAGUAUAGGCCAUGAGAGACCCUGAAGAAGAAAGAAACAAAAAUAAA
This is a long non-coding RNA of Saccostrea cuccullata (small rock oyster), 454 nucleotides long. RefSeq lists it as uncharacterized. The transcript is spliced from 2 exons. NCBI's taxonomy places the organism in Eukaryota, Metazoa, Mollusca, Bivalvia, Ostreida, Ostreidae. The record is from RefSeq and is a predicted model, not a curated record.